This 467-nucleotide ribosomal RNA is filed under the name uncultured bacterium. RNAcentral's name for it is "partial 16S ribosomal RNA". It matches the Rfam family "Bacterial small subunit ribosomal RNA", at positions 28 to 507 of the family's 1533-position model. The record is from RNAcentral.
GACGAACGCUGGCGGCGUGCUUAACACAUGCAAGUCGAACGGAAAGGCCCUGCUUUUGUGGGGUGCUCGAGUGGCGAACGGGUGAGUAACACGUGAGUAACCUGCCCUUGACUUUGGGAUAACUUCAGGAAACUGGGGCUAAUACCGGAUAGGAGCUCCUGCUGCAUGGUGGGGGUUGGAAAGUUUCGGCGGUUGGGGAUGGACUCGCGGCUUAUCAGCUUGUUGGUGGGGUAGUGGCUUACCAAGGCUUUGACGGGUAGCCGGCCUGAGAGGGUGACCGGCCACAUUGGGACAGGGAUACGGCCCAGAGUCCUACGGGAGGCAGGAGUGGGGAAUAUUGCACAAUGGGCGGAAGCCUGAUGCAGCAACGCCGCGUGCGGGAGGACGGCCUUCGGGUAGUAAACAGCUUUCGCCUGUGACGAAGCGUGAGUGACGGUAUGGGUAAAGAAGCACCGGCUAACUACGUG